Molecule: long non-coding RNA, 461 nt
Organism: Trachemys scripta elegans
Lineage: Eukaryota; Metazoa; Chordata; Testudines; Emydidae
Exons: 3
Source: RefSeq, a predicted model, not a curated record
UAAUCUGAUGUAUAGGAAAAGGACUUGAACUUGUGUCUUCUACAUCCCAAGUGAAUGCCCUAACCCCUGAGCUGCAAAGACUUUCUCACACUUCAGCUGACCCAGUAACUAAUUAUUUACACAAAGAGGAGCAGCUUCAACAGGAGAGAUUGUGUCCCACUGGCAUACCCCACAGCCCAACAACUAGUGCACACUCCAGAGAGGUAUUGGAAAGAGUUGGGAUAGAAUGUCACCGAUCAUACCAGCAUUGUCUCCUUCCCCAUUCAAUGACCGGUCAAACUCCUCUGCAGACAGAUGACCUGUUAUCCUUCCCCAAGAUACACCAGCAUCAUUUCCAUGAGUUGAUGGUGGCUGGCAAGAGCAGGUGGGUGGUUUCUAAAUGCUCUUCUUGAUAGAUGUUAUUCUACUUGACCCUUUUGAAGAGGAAAUGGUGAAGAGGAAACACUCUGAAACCGUUUCAU